GACGAACGCUGGCGGCGCGCCUAACACAUGCAAGUCGAACGAGAGAUGAGGAGCUUGCUCUUCAGAUCGAGUGGCGAACGGGUGAGUAACGCGUGAGGAACCUGCCUCAAAGAGGGGGACAACAGUUGGAAACGACUGCUAAUACCGCAUAAGCCCACGGCUCGGCAUCGAGCAGAGGGAAAAGGAGUGAUCCGCUUUGAGAUGGCCUCGCGUCCGAUUAGCUAGUUGGUGAGGUAACGGCCCACCAAGGCGACGAUCGGUAGCCGGACUGAGAGGUUGAACGGCCACAUUGGGACUGAGACACGGCCCAGACUCCUACGGGAGGCAGCAGUGGGGAAUAUUGCACAAUGGGGGAAACCCUGAUGCAGCGACGCCGCGUGGAGGAAGAAGGUCUUCGGAUUGUAAACUCCUGUUGUUGAGGAAGAUAAUGACGGUACUCAACAAGGAAGUGACGGCUAACUACGUGCCAGCAGCCGCAGUAA
Molecule: ribosomal RNA, 482 nt
Filed under: uncultured bacterium
Lineage: Bacteria
Description: partial 16S ribosomal RNA
Rfam family: Bacterial small subunit ribosomal RNA
Source: RNAcentral